UUAGCCUCUUGUUUCUUGUAUGGUUUUUGCACUAACACUGCCUUUUAACUAAUUCAGAUAUUACGAAUUGGAUUCGCAACAUCGAACAGCAUGCUUCAGAUAAUGUCAAAAAGAUCCUGGUAGGAAACAAGGCUGAUAUGGAUGAAAGUAGAAGGGUUGUGCCCACCGCUAAGGGCCAAGGCACUUGCUGAUGAAUUUGAAAAUGAAAAAUGAGAAUAGCAUAAUAAGAGUAGCUUGAGGAAGAAUUUUUGUUGUUGCAGAGAAGUAAUAUUAGAGUAUACAAUGUGGACAAAGGCUGGAAAGUGCAGAAAAACAGUGUUGUCAUAGGUUUGUGAUGGACUAUUACCGAUACAUCUCUUUCCUCAGAUCAACGUUAUCUGAUAUUACGAAUUGGAUUCGCAACAUCGAACAACAUGCUUCAGAUAAUGUCAAAAAGAUCCUGGUAGGAAACAAGGCUGAUAUGGAUGAAAGUGUUAUCAUUAAUAAAUUGUAACAUUAACAAAGUAUUAUUAUUGUAACCUAACUUGACUGAAACAGAAAAAGGUUCUGUUCUUUUCAAGUGAUCUUGAUGCUAAGAGAAUUGUAAUAAUAAUAUUAAUAAUAGUGUUGUGAUUUACAGGA
Molecule: long non-coding RNA, 621 nt
Organism: Cannabis sativa
Lineage: Eukaryota; Viridiplantae; Streptophyta; Magnoliopsida; Rosales; Cannabaceae
Exons: 5
Source: RefSeq, a predicted model, not a curated record